RNAcentral lists this ribosomal RNA (332 nucleotides) under uncultured eukaryote. RNAcentral describes it as "partial 18S ribosomal RNA". It matches the Rfam family "Eukaryotic small subunit ribosomal RNA", at positions 1470 to 1796 of the family's 1831-position model. The record is from RNAcentral.
CCCUUAGAUGUUCUGGGCCGCACGCGCGCUACACUGUUCGACGCAGCGAGUCUUAACCUUGACCGAAAGGUUUGGGUAAUCUUCAGCAAAGUCGAACGUGAUGGGGACCGAUCAUUGCAAUUAUUGAUCGUGAACGAGGAAUUCCUAGUAAGUGCAAGUCAUCAGCUUGCGCUGAUUACGUCCCUGCCCUUUGUACACACCGCCCGUCGCUACUACCGAUUGAAUGGUUUAGUGAGAUCUCUGGAUUGACGCUGGCUAGGGGGCGACCCUUGGCCAGACUGCUCGGGAAACUGCUCAAACUUGAUCAUUUAGAGGAAGUAAAAGUCGUAACA